This 468-nucleotide ribosomal RNA is filed under the name uncultured bacterium. RNAcentral describes it as "partial 16S ribosomal RNA". It matches the Rfam family "Bacterial small subunit ribosomal RNA", at positions 28 to 507 of the family's 1533-position model. The record is from RNAcentral.
GACGAACGCUGGCGGCGUGCUUAACACAUGCAAGUCGAACGGAAAGGCCCUGCUUUUGUGGGGUGCUCGAGUGGCGAACGGGUGAGUAACACGUGAGUAACCUGCCCUUGACUUUGGGAUAACUUCAGGAAACUGGGGCUAAUACCGGAUAGGAGCUCCUGCUGCAUGGUGGGGGUUGGACAGUUUCGGCGGUUGGGGAUGGACUCGCGGCUUAUCAGCUUGUUGGUGGGGUAGUGGCUUACCAAGGCAUUGACGGGUAGCCGGCCUGAGAGGGGGACCGGCCACAUGGGGACUGAGGGACGGCGCAGACGGGAACGGGGGGCAGCGGGGGGGAAUCUGGCACAAUGGGGGGGAGCCUGAGACAGAAACCCCGGGGGUGGGAAGACGGCUUUCGGGUGGUAAACCGCUUUCGCCUGAGACGAAGCGGGAGUGACGGUAAUGGGAAAAGAAGCACCGGCUAACUACGUG